RNAcentral lists this ribosomal RNA (414 nucleotides) under uncultured microorganism. RNAcentral describes it as "bacterial SSU rRNA". It matches the Rfam family "Archaeal small subunit ribosomal RNA", at positions 330 to 745 of the family's 1478-position model. The record is from RNAcentral.
GUGCAGCAGGCGAGAAACCUUCGCAAUGCGGGAAACCGCGACGAGGGGACUCCCAGUGCCUACGCUCAGCGUAGGCUGUUCCCGAGCCUAGAAAGCUCGGGGAGUAAGGGCUGGGUAAGGCGGGUGCCAGCCGCCGCGGUAAUACCCGCAGCCCGAGUGGUGGCCACUAUUAUUGGGCCUAAAGCGUCCGUAGCCGGCCCGGUAAAUGCCUGGGUAAAUCGUGAGGCCUAACCUCACGAAUUCCGGGUAGACUGCCGGGCUAGGGGACCGGAGGAGGGAGAGGGUACUCCAGGGGUAGGGGUGAAAUCCUGUAAUCCCUGGAGGACCACCGGUGGCGAAGGCGCUCUCCUAGGACGGGUCCGACGGUGAGGGACGAAAGCCAGGGGAGCGAACCGGAUUAGAUACCCGUGUAGU